Hydra vulgaris (swiftwater hydra) is the source of this 659-nucleotide non-coding RNA. The record is from RefSeq and is a predicted model, not a curated record. NCBI's taxonomy places the organism in Eukaryota, Metazoa, Cnidaria, Hydrozoa, Anthoathecata, Hydridae.
AUAUAAUUCUCUUAUACAAAAACAUUCUCUAAAAAAAGGUCAGAACCAUGCACAAUUUUAGUUGAGACAGUUUUACAGUCAUUGAAAGUUCAAAGACAGGCUUACCAUGAAAAAAGUUUCAUUGGCAAUCAUGUGCAUAUAAUGCUAAAGAAAUCAUCUAUACUUACCAUAUUGUGUACGACCAAGGGUUAUCAGGUACCAAUAUACAUCAACGAGCAAUUGAUAUAAGCACUAAAUAUAAGAAGCUGUUUAAUAAGUUUGCUCAAUGUUAUAAUAUAUUUUCUUCCAAAAGUACUAUGACAGCAGACAUAAUAAGAUUUCUGCAAAAAGCAAUUAACGAUUUAAUGAUUUUCUUUCGUUGUACAUGGCCAGAUGCUUUAGUGACACCAAAACUUCAUAUGCUUGAGUCCCAUGCUGUUCCGUUUUUGCAGAAAUGGGGUGCAGGAUUUGGUUAUUAUGGUGAGCAAGGUGGAGAAUCGAUUCAUAUAGAAUUUAACAAAUUGAAAACCGUAUACCAAUCGAUUCCAUGCCCGAAUAUGAAAUUAAAAAGUAUUUUGAAAAAUCAACAUCAAACGACAAAUCCGGAGAACAUACGACUUAGGCCACCUUUAUAUAGAAGAAAAAGAUGUUAAAAAAAAUUGUACUGUUGUGUAAAUAAU